AUUGAUGAUCUCUAGGACCAGUUGCUCUUGGAACCCAGAGUCACCGUGUAAGAUGCCUGGCUGUCCUGAGUGCUAGGCUGUGGGAAAGCCUAAGCUGGCAAUGUGAAAAAGGAAAAAGAGAAGCCCAUCGACCUCUGAAAUGUCCAAGCCUUCAGCCACGGAGAGCUGCACCAGAUGAGGUUCCAGAUGACACAAAGCAGAGUGUCUUCUUAUACCUCACCAUCUUAGACGCAGGAAGGUAAAUACAACAGCAUCGGCUCAGCCCAGUGGAAAGAGAAAAAACAGUGGAGUACAACUAAAUAAAUCUCCUGUCAAGAAUAACACUCAUCACUCUUUGUUAAUCUCUUUAUUACCCUUUUCCUUGAAUAAGGAAAAGAGGCAGGAUUUGAGAGCAC
Molecule: long non-coding RNA, 395 nt
Filed under: Fukomys damarensis (Damara mole-rat)
Lineage: Eukaryota; Metazoa; Chordata; Mammalia; Rodentia; Bathyergidae
Description: lncRNA (ENSFDAG00000024177.1)
Source: RNAcentral